UCUAUCUUUUCCCAAUUUAUUUUAUUUAACCACACUAAUCAACAUGAUUUCUUUUGGUGAAUAUAGAGUGAGUUUGUUUGUGAUCCUUCCCUUUAAUAAUAUACCCUAUAAAAGUUUGAUAAUAAUUUUUUUGAAUUAUUAACAUUGAAAUGAGGAAUGUUUGACCAAAUUUCGAAUACCUAUGAAAUAGGCUCUGAAAAUAUCUCCAUGAAGAGUCCAAGGGAGGGUAACCAUCCUCCGGAAAGUCAAACAGUUUGUCAU
This 261-nucleotide long non-coding RNA is filed under the name Phoenix dactylifera (date palm). RNAcentral's name for it is "long non-coding RNA (PDAC_LNC022184)". Lineage: Eukaryota; Viridiplantae; Streptophyta; Magnoliopsida; Arecales; Arecaceae. The record is from RNAcentral.